This 361-nucleotide ribosomal RNA is filed under the name Streptococcus lutetiensis. RNAcentral's name for it is "bacterial SSU rRNA". It matches the Rfam family "Bacterial small subunit ribosomal RNA", at positions 57 to 411 of the family's 1533-position model. Lineage: Bacteria; Bacillati; Bacillota; Bacilli; Lactobacillales; Streptococcaceae. The record is from RNAcentral.
GCAGUAGACGCUGAGACUUUAGCUUGCUAAAGUUGGAAGAGUUGCGAACGGGUGAGUAACGCGUAGGUAACCUGCCUACUAGCGGGGGAUAACUAUUGGAAACGAUAGCUAAUACCGCAUAACAGCAUUUAACCCAUGUUAGAUGCUUGAAAGGAGCAAUUGCUUCACUAGUAGAUGGACCUGCGUUGUAUUAGCUAGUUGGUGAGGUAACGGCUCACCAAGGCGACGAUACAUAGCCGACCUGAGAGGGUGAUCGGCCACACUGGGACUGAGACACGGCCCAGACUCCUACGGGAGGCAGCAGUAGGGAAUCUUCGGCAAUGGGGGCAACCCUGACCGAGCAACGCCGCGUGAGUGAAGA